This 341-nucleotide ribosomal RNA is filed under the name Staphylococcus aureus. RNAcentral's name for it is "partial 23S ribosomal RNA". It matches the Rfam family "Bacterial large subunit ribosomal RNA", at positions 142 to 475 of the family's 2925-position model. Lineage: Bacteria; Bacillati; Bacillota; Bacilli; Caryophanales; Staphylococcaceae. The record is from RNAcentral.
GUCAUGUUAUCGAUAUGUGAAUACAUAGCAUAUCAGAAGGCACACCCGGAGAACUGAAACAUCUUAGUACCCGGAGGAAGAGAAAGAAAAUUCGAUUCCCUUAGUAGCGGCGAGCGAAACGGGAAGAGCCCAAACCAACAAGCUUGCUUGUUGGGGUUGUAGGACACUCUGUACGGAGUUACAAAGGACGACAUUAGACGAAUCAUCUGGAAAGAUGAAUCAAAGAAGGUAAUAAUCCUGUAGUCGAAAAUGUUGUCUCUCUUGAGUGGAUCCUGAGUACGACGGAGCACGUGAAAUUCCGUCGGAAUCUGGGAGGACCAUCUCCUAAGGCUAAAUACUCU